UACGGAGGGGGCUAGCGUUGUUCGGAAUUACUGGGCGUAAAGCGCGCGUAGGCGGACCUGCAAGUCGGGGGUGAAAGCCCGAGGCUCAACCUCGGAACUGCCUUCGAUACUGCGGGUCUCGAGUCCGGGAGAGGUGAGUGGAAUUCCUAGUGUAGAGGUGAAAUUCGUAGAUAUUAGGAAGAACACCAAUGGCGAAGGCGAGCUCACUG
Molecule: ribosomal RNA, 209 nt
Filed under: uncultured bacterium
Lineage: Bacteria
Description: partial 16S ribosomal RNA
Rfam family: Bacterial small subunit ribosomal RNA
Source: RNAcentral